Molecule: ribosomal RNA, 269 nt
Filed under: uncultured anaerobic ammonium-oxidizing bacterium
Lineage: Bacteria
Description: partial 16S ribosomal RNA
Rfam family: Bacterial small subunit ribosomal RNA
Source: RNAcentral
GAGCACGUAGGUGGGUUUGUAAGUCAGAUGUGAAAGCCUUCUGUUCAACGGGAGAAUUGCAUCUGAAACUACAGACCUUGAGUAUAGGAGGGGAGAAUGGAACUUCUGGUGGAGCGGUGAAGUGCGUAGAUAUCAGAAGGAACGCCGGCGGCGAAAGCGAUUCUCUGGCCUAUUACUGACACUCAGUGUGCGAAAGCUAGGGGAGCAAACGGGAUUAGAUACCCCGGUAGUCCUAGCCGUAAACGAUGGGCACUAAGUAGAGGGGUUUU